RNAcentral lists this ribosomal RNA (477 nucleotides) under uncultured ammonia-oxidizing bacterium. Its description in RNAcentral is "bacterial SSU rRNA". It matches the Rfam family "Bacterial small subunit ribosomal RNA", at positions 192 to 650 of the family's 1533-position model. The record is from RNAcentral.
GCCCUUGGAGGAAAGUAGGGGAUCGUAAGACCUUGUGCUUUAGGAGUGUCCGAUGUCUGAUUAGCUAGUUGGUAAGGUAAAGGCUUACCAAGGCGACGAUCAGUAGCUGGUCUGAGAGGACGAUCAGCCACACUGGGACUGAGACACGGCCCAGACUCCUACGGGAGGCAGCAGUGGGGAAUUUUGGACAAUGGUCGGAAGCCUGAUCCAGCAAUGCCGCGUGAGUGAAGAAGGCCUUCGGGUUGUAAAGCUCUUUCAGUCGAGAAGAAAAGGCUAUGCCAAAUAAGUAUAGUUAAUGACGGUAUCGAAAGAAGAAGCACCGGCUAACUACGUGCCAGCAGCCGCGGUAAUACGUAGGGUGCGAGCGUUAAUCGGAAUUACUGGGCGUAAAGGGUGCGCAGGCGGUUUUGUAAGUCAGAUGUGAAAUCCCCGGGCUUAACCUGGGAAUGGCGUUUGAAACUACAAAGCUAGAAGGGC